AGAGUUUGAUCCUGGCUCAGGACGAACGCUGGCGGCGUGCUUAACACAUGCAAGUCGAACGGAAAGGCCCCUUCGGGGGUACUCGAGUGGCGAACGGGUGAGUAACACGUGGGUGAUCUGCCCUGCACUUUGGGAUAAGCCUGGGAAACUGGGUCUAAUACCGAAUAGGACCGCAUGCUUCAUGGUGUGUGGUGGAAAGCUUUUGCGGUGUGGGAUGGGCCCGCGGCCUAUCAGCUUGUUGGUGGGGUAAUGGCCUACCAAGGCGACGACGGGUAGCCGGCCUGAGAGGGUGUCCGGCCACACUGGGACUGAGAUACGGCCCAGACUCCUACGGGAGGCAGCAGUGGGGAAUAUUGCACAAUGGGCGCAAGCCUGAUGCAGCGACGCCGCGUGGGGGAUGACGGCCUUCGGGUUGUAAACCUCUUUCAGUAUCGGCGAAGCUCCAGGAUUUUUCUUGGGGUGACGGUAGGUACAGAAGAAGCACCGGCCAACUACGUGCCAGCAGCCGCGGUAAUACGUAGGGUGCGAGCGUUGUCCGGAAUUACUGGGCGUAAAGAGCUCGUAGGUGGUUUGUCACGUUGUCUGUGAAAACUCACAGCUUAACUGUGGGCGUGCGGGCGAUACGGGCAGACUGGAGUACUGUAGGGGAGACUGGAAUUCCUGGUGUAACGGUGGAAUGCGCAGAUAUCAGGAGGAACACCGGUGGCGAAGGCGGGUCUCCGGGCAGUAACUGACGCUGAGGAGCGAAAGCGUGGGGAGCGAACAGGAUUAGAUACCCUGGUAGUCCAA
RNAcentral lists this ribosomal RNA (789 nucleotides) under uncultured bacterium. RNAcentral's name for it is "bacterial SSU rRNA". It matches the Rfam family "Bacterial small subunit ribosomal RNA", at positions 8 to 798 of the family's 1533-position model. The record is from RNAcentral.